Molecule: ribosomal RNA, 254 nt
Filed under: uncultured bacterium
Lineage: Bacteria
Description: partial 16S ribosomal RNA
Rfam family: Bacterial small subunit ribosomal RNA
Source: RNAcentral
CUUUCUUUGCUGGCGACCGGCGCACGGGUGAGUAACACGUAUCCAACCUGCCCUUUACUCGGGGAUAGCCUUUCGAAAGAAAGAUUAAUACCCGAUAGCAUAAUGAUUCCGCAUGGUUUCAUUAUUAAAGGAUUCCGGUAAAGGAUGGGGAUACGUUCCAUUAGGUUGUUGGUGAGGUAACGGCUCACCAAGCCUUCGAUGGAUAGGGGUUCUGAGAGGAAGGUCCCCCAUAUUGGAACUGAGACACGGUCCAA